GACGAACGCUGGCGUCGUGCUUAACACAUGCAAGUCGAACGGAGUGGCGAACGGGUGAGUAACACGUGGGUGAUCUGCCCUGCACUUCGGGAUAAGCUUGGGAAACUGGGUCUAAUACCGGAUAGUGCAAGAUGAGCUCGCGGCCGAUCAGCUUGUUGGUGGGGUAAUGGCCUACCAAGGCGUCUACGGGUAGCCGGCCUGAGAGGGUGUACGGCGACAUUGGGACUUGGAUACGGCCCAGGGUCCUACGGGAGGAAGCGGUGGGGAAGAUUGCACAAUGGGAGGAAGCCUGAUGCAGCGACGCCGCGUGGGGGAUGAAGGCCUUCGGGUUGUAAACUCCUUUCGAAAGGGACGCGGUACCUGUAUAAGAAGCACCGGCUAACUACGUGCCAGCCGCCGCGGUAAUAC
This 408-nucleotide ribosomal RNA is filed under the name uncultured bacterium. Its description in RNAcentral is "partial 16S ribosomal RNA". It matches the Rfam family "Bacterial small subunit ribosomal RNA", at positions 28 to 526 of the family's 1533-position model. The record is from RNAcentral.